Molecule: long non-coding RNA, 2348 nt
Organism: Zea mays
Lineage: Eukaryota; Viridiplantae; Streptophyta; Magnoliopsida; Poales; Poaceae
Exons: 5
Source: RefSeq, a predicted model, not a curated record
GAUCCUCGCCCUUGAACUAGCGGAACAUCCUCCGUCUCCCACCACCCGAGCGAUUUCCUCUCCCUCGCGUCCCACGCCAUGCCCUGAUGUCGUUCUUCCUCCUGACCGCGACGCUCGCCGCGAUCCCAUCCUCCCAGCCUUUCUUCUGCAUAAUUUCUUUUAUAUUAUAAUUUGUGUUCACGCUUAGGUAAGUAAUGCCACACAAUUUUUGUUUACUCCUAUUUUUGUUGCAGAUUGUCCAGACUGUAUAAUUUUUUAUAUCAUCAUUGUUGUGAUUCUUUCCUGUUUAGUCCUAGGUUAUGAUGAACAAGUUAUCAUGACUGCAACACUUGUGUUCAAAUGAGUUAGGCACUUCUCAUGCUAAUUCAAAUCUCAUACAUGAAUUUUUCAUGUUUUGUUAGUGCUUCAGGGUUCUACCUUCUUAAUGAAACUAUGAUAUAGAAUUAGAAUAGGGCACCCUAAGAAUUUUGACAUCACUAAACUCAUACAACAGAGUGUGCACGGCAACACUUGUUAAGUGGCAACAACAAAGCAAUGCAAAUGCACAUUUAAUCUUGACUUACAAGUGCUGGUAAACGAAUACCAUUUUUGUGGUAGGAAUGAGCCUUCUAUAUUUAUCGAGUUAUCUAAUAAACAUAUGAGGAGAGGCAAGAAAUUGACAGAUGACAACUCCACUUCAUUAAUUAUAUUUACCCAUCAUAUCCAAUAUUUCUGACAAAAGAUAUCUAAUAUCACUGACUUCUCUAGGUAGUGAGUGCCUUUAUGUUUGCAUGCCACUAUACAUAUUUCUUUGUUGGGAUCUGGUUCUUAUUCUGCUUGUGACUCAGUUCACUAUUUGUGAAUCUUGCUUUUGUCAGUUGCAAAUCAGCUUGUACUUGUAGCAGCAACUGGACAGGGUCCUGCAAUGCUCGCUCCAUGGGGUGCAGGCUCAUCGUCUACCAUUACUGCCUCUCCGUGCUGGUUCCUACCAAUCUAAAACAGCUCAGGGGUGUUUGGAUUCAGCCACUAAAAUUUAGUUGAGGCCGAGGCCCUCUUUGAGCUCUACAAGAUCAGUUGUUCUAUCAUCGACGACGACCUAUCAACCAGGUGCAUUCAAUAAAAUUCCUCUUCGAUUCCUGUAUCUGUCGUGCAUAUUCUUGUCAUUCAUGACGUGAUUUGGGGUUGAUUUGAACAUCUAUUUUUUUGAAUGAAACAUUCCUUGCACUUGGAAGAUGUGUUUUUUUGUUGCUUUAGGCCUCGGACAAUUUCUUUGGAUUUAAAUAUGGAGGAAAUGGUUACAAAAGACCUGGGAUAGUGACACUCUGUCAUCCUAGGCUAAUGAGAUUGAGCACCUGGUAAUUCCAGCAACAGAUUACCUCUUUGAACCUUCACUCUAGGAUAUUUCUCAAGCCAUAGAUUUCAUCCAUAGGAAUGCAUCACAAGGUGGUACCACAUUACCCAUGAUCUACGUGCUCGGAGACUCCCUGGCGCCUGUCGAGAACAACAAUAACCUGGUGACACUGCUCAAGGCCAACUUCCUACGAAACAACAUCGACUACCUAGGGCACAAGGCCAUCGGCUGCUUCAGCAAUGGCAAGAACUCCAUCGACUUCCUCGGAAGAAGGUAGGGGAAAAGCAGGGAAGUAGGUCGUACCACGGUGCCUCGUGCUAUCGCCAACGAGGGAGCUCGCUCAACAACCACAGGGAGACCACAUCGAGCUGCACCAGAAGCGCCAUGGUAAGCACUUGGACCACGAGGUGCGCAAGCACGAGGCGCGCGAGGUGCAUAGGCCUCGAAGGACACUCACAAUGUGUAGUUCUGAUCUGAUAAGUUUACGCACUUUUGGUUUUGCUGUUCAUGUGCGCCCAUUGUUGAUGAUCACGUGUCUUGUGCUGUUGUAGUUGAUUGGUACUAAGGGCAAGAGGUUUGUCAAGAAACGCUAUGCUGAGAAGGCGCAGAUGAAGAAGAAAUAAGUGCUUGUUUGCUGCUCCUGUUUAUGUGUUGAUAUUUGUGAGCCAAUAACUUUUAACCAUGACUGCUUUACUGGUGUAUCAUACCCUGAGUAGCGGUUGUGAGCAUGAAAAAUUGCUUACGCCCCAUAGAGGUUAUGACUCAGCUUGUCAGCCAUCCCCAACUAAGUUGUGUUCUUCUGAACCAUGCUACUUUGUUCUUUACUGCAACCUGCAUUCGUUGAUGCGAACAAACUAAUUAUGUAUUCCUCUGAUCAUUACUUAGAUGAGGAACAAUCUCUUUGUAUUAUGUGGUCUGACUAUCAUGGUGGAAUUUGUUUAAUCUGUUUAUGUGAUUUGCAAAAGAAAAUGCAAUGAGUAUGCGCCUUUGUGAAAUAAUAAAGUUAACUAUGCAUUAA